This is a long non-coding RNA of Bacillus rossius redtenbacheri, 2950 nucleotides long. RefSeq lists it as uncharacterized. The transcript is spliced from 2 exons. The record is from RefSeq and is a predicted model, not a curated record. Lineage: Eukaryota; Metazoa; Arthropoda; Insecta; Phasmatodea; Bacillidae.
UGUUGAAAUCAAAUUUAGGGACUUUACUGACGGGACUCUGGGCUGGCUGCUCUGUUCACUCGUCAGCGCAAGUGGCGUGACCAUGUAAUUGGGGCACGGGGCCGGCGCGGCGCGCUGCGGGCUUGCAGAAUUUUGUUUGUUUGUUUGGCCGCGCGCUGGCGCAGCCACGGGCCGCAGUUACUGGGGCGCGCUGUCGUAACAAGCCGCGCGGUGUGGCCUGCACAUUGGGGUAGAGGGGGGGUAGUCUUCCCAGAUGUUCUAGUUAGUUGUUUAGUAAAUUUGACUUCAAUAACGAGCUUUUGUUAUGGUAGGCGCGGCAGGGCGCGCGAAUUUAAGCGCAAGUGAGUGAUGACUCGGGGCUCACUCAGGCGGAGGCUAUGCGUCUCACCUGUGGUCACGAGUUGUUAGUUCGUUCGUGAUGUAGGAAUUCAGGCUCACUCAGGCGGAGGCUAUGCGUCUCACCUGUGGUCACGAGUUGUUAGUUCGUUCGUGAUGUAGGAAUUCAAGCUUUCGGGCGGAAGCUAUGGUCGACGCCAGAGGCCACGAGUCGUUUAAUUUAAGUUAGGUCAUAAUGUAGUCGUCAAGCUUUCGGGCGGAGGCUAUGGCCCUCGUCAGGGGUCACGCGUCAUAGUUUUUAAAAUGUAAUGUUCGUUCGGGAUUUCAAGGGCAGGAGAGGCCCCUACGUUAUUUUUUUAAAGUAAUCGAUCAAGAAAGGCUUUUCGGAAAAUGUGAGUAUGGACUUAUCUUUGUUUUAAUUUUAAGUAUUAAUUAUGAUUUGAGGUAUUCGGAAGGACUAGGGAAGUGUUUAGUGAAGUUCUCUCAUUCUCUCUCUUGUAAGGUCGUUCAAUCGUUAAGGAAGUAAAGAGAUUAUUGUUUUAAAUUGUAAUCCCGCUAUUUAAAUGUUCUUUAAAAUGAUGUUGAGUAUUUGACUUUAAGAAUAAAAUAAUUUUAAUUAAGUAUUAUGUUAUUUUGCAAAAUCUCCUUAGUUCAGCUCUCACCAGACAUCCUGUACGGGAUGACGAACCUAUGAUCCUAGGUACAGUAAAGUAUUUUAUGAAGUUAAGACUAGUUGAUGCCAAGCGAGUUGUUUCUAUGUAAAGAGCUACGAUUCUCGCCCCCCCCCCCCUCUGAAGGUGGAUCGUGACAGAAAUGGCGGUGGCACCGGCUAGGUGCACGUGACAGAAAUGGUAGAGUUCGCCGGAUAGGUUCUAUUUCUGGAGAGAGAGAGAGGUAGAUUUUUAUGUUUAUUAUUAAGUUAGUUUCAGCUUCUGAUAGCAGGUUAUUAAGAGUUUACUUGAGGAGAGGAUUACGGAAUUUUAGUCUAUAGUGGAGGAAGUCUUUGAGAUUUUUUUUUUGACGUAACAGAUGUUUAUUUGAGGAUACUUGUAAGGAUAAAGUUUAUAGUGAUAAGUUGUUUUAAGUCGUUGAAUUUAUUGUAGAUUUAUAUCGGGGAUUAUUACGUGAGGAGAAUACGUUAUAAGUUAAAUGCUUAUUAAAGAUAAUGCAAGUGGUUUAGUUUUAUUAAAGUUAAUUUAAGAUUGUAGGUUAAGAGAAUUAUAAUUUAAAAUAAAAAUUUUUUGUCGUAAAUAGGAAUUAUUUUCAAGAGAAGUUUGUUUUGUUUUCGUGCGCGUAGGAGACGAGACGUACGAAUUAAAUCAGUCGAGGGAAGGAUAAACGUUAGAAAGGAAUUAAAGAGAAAACGAGAGUUUAUGUAAAAGAGAGUUAUAGAAUUUAUAGUGAUGUUUUGUUUUAAUUAGAAAAAUGUUGAGAGUUGUUUCAGAACGACACGUCAGUGGACGUGGCAGAAUGAACACGUGACGGGGAGGUGCUGAGACCUAGCGGAGAACGGAGGAACCGCAAGCGAGGGUUGGCGCACCUGAUGGAAUUCGGUGACGUCACGAGCACGUACAGAGACGUGGACGGCCGUGACCUUGUUUUGAUCAGCUGUACGGUAACUUAGCGAUAAGAAAAUAGACUAUUGGUUAAAUAAAUUUAAAUUUAAGUGUGUUUUAGAAGAAGAGGAACUUUCAGUAUAUUCCUUAAGAUGAGCUGAGCAGCAGUCCAGUUUACAAGAUGACAAGAGUUCGAGAGACAAGAUACAAGAUCACUGAAACAAGAGCCAAGACUGAAGAUUCAAGAGAAGAGAAAGCUGGCAGCCAUGGACUUACAAGUGGAGAUUAAUAAGGUCAUGUAAAGUUUUAUUUUUUUUUAUGGAAGACAGUAACUGGAGUUUUUUUUGUUAUAAACAUUAUUUACAGAACUUUUUAGGUUAUAGUAAUGUAAUGGAACUAGUGAGUUGUGGUAGCUGUCAAAAAGAACUAAUACCUUAAGUUUAAUUUUUAAAGUUAAUUUUCUUAAUUUACAGAGGGAUUAGUAGUUUUUUUUAAAACCUUAUUUAGGUUGGAAUUUAAAUACAAUAGCUUAUUAUAAAUGUGUACGAACAGUUCAAGUUCACAGUACUGAUAGGUAGGUCAGAUGAUCUUAUUGAUUUUGAUGAUUUGUUGUUUUGAGUUGAUUUUUAAGUGUUGUGAAUUAGACAAUGAAAUAGUUCUGAAAACUUAAAUUAUUUCAAGCUAAGAAAUAGUAAAUUUAAUUGUAACUCAAAGGACACCAGAAUUUAAUUUUUUUUUGAAUUAGUAAUGUUUGAAAAUUUUAUACUUUACAAAAAAAGGUUAUAAACAAACAGAUCGGAUGGAACAAGGAUGCAGUAAAUCACAAUUUCAUUUAGAAUUAUUGAUUAGCUUUUGAGGUUAUGAAGUAAAAGUAAUUAUAGUUUAAAAGUUUGAAUUAAAAAAAAUGGUUUUUUUUAAUUUGUUUGAAAUAGAAAGUUUAAAAGUUAAUUAGUCAUGAUCUAGGUGGGUGAUGGGGUGGGAAUUGGCCACUCUUUUUCCCUAUAACCUCCCUAACAUGGCCUUCUAUUACAACUAACAGAAAUAAAGAAGAAGAAAAA